Molecule: ribosomal RNA, 690 nt
Filed under: endophytic bacterium
Lineage: Bacteria
Description: bacterial SSU rRNA
Rfam family: Bacterial small subunit ribosomal RNA
Source: RNAcentral
GCCGUAAAGAUGUCGACUUGGAGGUUGUUCCCUUGAGGAGUGGCUUCCGGAGCUAACGCGUUAAGUCGACCGCCUGGGGAGUACGGCCGCAAGGUUAAAACUCAAAUGAAUUGACGGGGGCCCGCACAAGCGGUGGAGCAUGUGGUUUAAUUCGAUGCAACGCGAAGAACCUUACCUACUCUUGACAUCCAGAGAACUUAGCAGAGAUGCUUUGGUGCCUUCGGGAACUCUGAGACAGGUGCUGCAUGGCUGUCGUCAGCUCGUGUUGUGAAAUGUUGGGUUAAGUCCCGCAACGAGCGCAACCCUUAUCCUUUGUUGCCAGCGGUUCGGCCGGGAACUCAAAGGAGACUGCCAGUGAUAAACUGGAGGAAGGUGGGGAUGACGUCAAGUCAUCAUGGCCCUUACGAGUAGGGCUACACACGUGCUACAAUGGCGCAUACAAAGAGAAGCGACCUCGCGAGAGCAAGCGGACCUCAUAAAGUGCGUCGUAGUCCGGAUUGGAGUCUGCAACUCGACUCCAUGAAGUCGGAAUCGCUAGUAAUCGUAGAUCAGAAUGCUACGGUGAAUACGUUCCCGGGCCUUGUACACACCGCCCGUCACACCAUGGGAGUGGGUUGCAAAAGAAGUAGGUAGCUUAACCUUCGGGAGGGCGCUUACCACUUUGUGAUUCAUGACUGGGGUGAAGUCUCA